GAUGAAGAACGUAGCGAAAUGCGAUAAGUAAUGUGAAUCGCAGAAUUCAGUGAAUCAUCGAAUCUUUGAACGCAUCUUGCGCUCCUUGGUAUUCUGAGGAGCAUGCCUGUUUGAGUGUCAUUAAAUUCUCAACUACACUGACUUUGAAUUGGUGUGGCUUGGAUUUGGGGGGGAAAAUUGUUGUGGGCUUUUUGUAUAGUCUGCUCCCCUGAAAUUGAUUAGCGGUACCUUUGUGGAACUGUCUACAGGUGUGAUAAUUAUCUACAUCCUAGACAUCUGCUGGGAUGCUGCUUUCUAAACCUUACUUGUAUUGACAAUCUUGACCUCAAAUCAGGUAGGACUACCCGCUGAACUUAAGCAUAUCAAUAAGCGGAGGA
This 377-nucleotide unclassified non-coding RNA is filed under the name soil metagenome. RNAcentral describes it as "partial contains 5.8S ribosomal RNA, internal transcribed spacer 2, and large subunit ribosomal RNA". The stretch from base 1 to 120 matches the Rfam family "5.8S ribosomal RNA", at positions 35 to 154 of the family's 154-position model. The record is from RNAcentral.